RNAcentral lists this long non-coding RNA (484 nucleotides) under Equus asinus (donkey). RNAcentral's name for it is "lncRNA (ENSEASG00005027269.1)". Lineage: Eukaryota; Metazoa; Chordata; Mammalia; Perissodactyla; Equidae. The record is from RNAcentral.
CAUGUGAUGUGACAGAGAGGAGCAGUGAUAUUUUCAGCAAUCACUUGUGGGAAUUACCUAGGAUCGAGAGAGAGCCAUGACCUCCCUGCCCAUUCCACACUGUCGGCAUGUGACUUUUCUUAUACCCUUUCACUGCUGGGCCCUCACAUGUGCCUGGAAAUGCAAACAACUUUCCUCUCUGAGCCAGUCACAGGAAGGAUGCAGCCAGGAAGACCAGUGAGGCUACCUUUCCACAGUACUGGGAACAUCUCCGCUGAAAACCCAUCAUGGUUCUGGGUCAAAAGCAGCACGGAAACAAGUGGAAUUGCCUGCAGACUCAUUCUGAAUAAAGGGUGGGUCCACAUGGAGAAGCCUGCAUCCAGAUGUGCUUGUGAUUGGCUCUGCUUCUAAAGUGUGGAUGCUAUUUUGAGAAGGCUGUUGUAGAUACAGUAUCUCCAGAUCUUACAUCUCAACUUUAAGCCCACUGGAAGAGUGAGAAUCUUUA